ACCCUUAGAUGUCCUGGGCUGCACGCGCGCUACACUGAUGUGUCCAGUAAGCACCUAACCUCUUCCGAAAGGAACGGGUAACCUUUACAAAGCACAUCGUGAUGGGGAUAGAUUAUUGCAAUUAUUAGUCUUGAACGAGGAAUUCCUAGUAAGCACAAGUCAUCAGCUUGUGUUGAUUACGUCACUGCCCUUUGUACGCACCGCCCGUCGCUCCUACCGAUUGAAUGUUCCGAUGAAUACCAUGGACUGAGAGUAUGAAUGGGUUCGCCUAUUUCUGCUUCUCGGGAAGUGGAGUAAAUCUUAACAUUUAGAGGAAGGAGAAGUCGUAACA
RNAcentral lists this ribosomal RNA (331 nucleotides) under uncultured eukaryote. RNAcentral's name for it is "partial 18S ribosomal RNA". It matches the Rfam family "Eukaryotic small subunit ribosomal RNA", at positions 1469 to 1796 of the family's 1831-position model. The record is from RNAcentral.